Long non-coding RNA from Thalassophryne amazonica, 875 nucleotides. RefSeq lists it as uncharacterized. The record is from RefSeq and is a predicted model, not a curated record. The transcript is spliced from 2 exons. NCBI's taxonomy places the organism in Eukaryota, Metazoa, Chordata, Actinopteri, Batrachoidiformes, Batrachoididae.
UUUAUAUUUGGGCCGCCAAAAAUCUACUGGCCCAUGGGCUCAGUACUUACGAACAUUAGCAGCCAUCCCUGGUUGUGUUGUGUGCUGAUUUGUGCUGAGUGGAAGAUAGGACCCUAAAAGUUUGAAUUAUGUAAUGAAAUGUCAAAACUUCAAAUCUUUAAGUCAUAGUUAUGAAAAGGCUAAAUUAUUCAUUAAAUUAUGAAAUAAAAAAAGUCCAAAUUUUUUAGUUAAGUGUUUUUGUUUAUUUUUUUCUGAAAUUACUGAGUGAACAUAAUAAAAAUUACUUUUUCACUGACUAGCCCCUUCGCCUCCCUGAUACAGGCUUCCAUAGCACGGUGUGUAAAAUAGUUGUAGAUGUAUAUUUGUAUAAAUAAUGUGAACUUUACACUCGAUUUUCUAAUGGAGUCUGCUCAGACGUCAACAAGCACUUUUGUCGAUCAAAUCCAUUGUCUUACCAUGGUGAACAUGAAGCCUCUUGAUAUAUAUAUAUAUAUUUUUAUUUUUUUCCUGUCAUAAGUCGCUUGCUCUGAAUCAUGAAAAGUCGCACUUUGAGGACUAAAAGCUUGCUUUGUAAUUUUACAGAUUUUCCGAAGAAUCACAAAGGGGUUGUUGAAUGAUGCAGUCAUAAAAGAAUGAGUGUGAUGAUUAAACUACCAUUGUGAAAAUCAGCUCAUUCAUAAGGAAAAUGUUUUGUUUUGCAUUGUGCUUUAUCUUAAAAAGACUAUUUCCUUUCUUCCUUUAACAAUGUGUUGUUUUACAUGUGAUAUUUUCUUGAUUGAAGUUUAAUUCUACAUAUAGAUGAAGAUAUUCUGUUGAAAAGCACUAUUUUAGUGGGAUUUAAAAAAAAAACCUAAAUAAAGAUGUAUAUCUAAGUA